GCCGGGCAUGGUGGUGCACGCCUGUAGUCCCAGCUACUUGGGAGGCUGAGGCAGGAGAAUCGCUUGACACUGGGAGGCAGAGGUUGCAGUGAGCCGAUUGCGCCACUGCACUCUAGCCUGGUGACAGAGCGAGACUCUGUCUCAAAAACAACAACAACAACAACAACAACAACAAAAAACUAUAUCUCAGUUUUUUGUUUUGUUUUGUUUUGUUUUUUGAGAUGGAGUCUCACUCUGUCACCCAGGCUGGAGUGCAGUGGUGCAAACUCGGCUCACUGCAACUUCUGCCUCCUGGGGUCAAGCGAUUCUCCUGCCUCAG
This 319-nucleotide signal recognition particle RNA is filed under the name Homo sapiens (human). RNAcentral's name for it is "Metazoan signal recognition particle RNA". It matches the Rfam family "Metazoan signal recognition particle RNA". From Rfam's summary of the family: The signal recognition particle (SRP) is a universally conserved ribonucleoprotein. Lineage: Eukaryota; Metazoa; Chordata; Mammalia; Primates; Hominidae. The record is from Rfam by way of RNAcentral.